Molecule: ribosomal RNA, 644 nt
Filed under: Dujonia zeylanoides
Lineage: Eukaryota; Fungi; Ascomycota; Pichiomycetes; Serinales; Debaryomycetaceae
Description: eukaryotic LSU rRNA
Rfam family: 5.8S ribosomal RNA (bases 252-405)
Source: RNAcentral
CAAAAGAAUACUGUAAAGAUCCUCUUCUCCGGGGGGGGUACUGCGGGAGGGUCAUUACAGUAUUCUUUUGCCAGCGCUUAAUUGCGCGGCGAAAAACCUUACACACUAUGUUUUUUUGAUUUGAAACUUUUGCUCUUGGUCUGACUUAGAAAUGAGUUGGGCCAAAGGUUUUAUACUAAAACUUCAAUUUUAUUAUUGAAUUGUUAAUUAAUUAUAUUGUCAAUUUGUUGAUUAAAUUCAAAAAUCUUCAAAACUUUCAACAACGGGUCUCUUGGUUCUCGCAUCGAUGAAGAACGCAGCGAAAUGCGAUAAGUAAUAUGAAUUGCAGAUUUUCGUGAAUCAUCGAAUCUUUGAACGCACAUUGCGCCCUAUGGUAUUCCAUAGGGCAUGCCUGUUUGAGCGUCAUUUCUCUCUCAAAUCUUCGGGUUUGGUUUUGAGUGAUACUCUUAGUCAGACUAAGCGUUGCUUGAAAUGUAUUGGCAUGAGUGGUACUAGAUAGUGCUGAACUGUUUCAAUGUAUUAGGUUUAUCCAACUCGUUGACCAGUAUAGUAUUUGUUUAUUACACAGGCUCGGCCUUACAACAACAAACAAAGUUUGACCUCAAAUCAGGUAGGGCUACCCGCUGAACUUAAGCAUAUCAUAG